RNAcentral lists this unclassified non-coding RNA (1133 nucleotides) under Leishmania donovani. Its description in RNAcentral is "gene:LdHU3.03.0580(CDS-product:quinone_oxidoreduc tase_putative)". Lineage: Eukaryota; Euglenozoa; Kinetoplastea; Trypanosomatida; Trypanosomatidae. The record is from RNAcentral.
CCAGUCGUCACACGGACUCACGCUUUUCUCUGUCGACUUCGAGCACCUGUACACGCUUGGCAGCACACCGGCACACAAGCCAUGGAGGUGAUUGCCACGGCGCACGGCGGGCCUGAGGUGCUCACGGUUCGUCCGUCCUCGCACACUCCUGACGCAACGCAGCUGGAGGGGGGUCAGGUGCUGGUGCGCAACGCCUACGCUGGCGUGAACUUCAUUGACACCUACUUCCUUAGCGGCCUUUAUAAGAAGCCGGCAAUGCCGUACGUCGUGGGCGAGGAGGGCGCAGGUGCAGUCGUCAAGGUCGGCGCCGGUGUGCCGGAGACGAUGCUCGGAAAGCGUGUCGCCUAUUUUGGUGGUGCCGGCUGCACUGGCAGCUACGCCGCCUUCACAGUGGCGCCAGCGUCUGCGCUGCGUGAAGUGCCGGAUGAGGUGACGGACGCGGAGGCGGCGGCAGUGAUGUGCCAAGGCCUGACGGCGCACUAUCUGGUGGACUCCAGCUACCCGUGCGGCCCGGGCUCGACGGUGGCAGUGCACGCUGCCGCCGGUGGGACGGGGCUUCUUGUGUGCCAGAUGGCGAAGCUGCGCGGAGCGCGCGUGAUCGGCCUCUGUGGCGGCGCGGAGAAGGCGACGCUGGCGAGGUCGGUAGGCCGCGCGGACGUGGUGAUCGACUACGUGGCGACGCCGGAUUGGGCGCCGCUGGUGCGCGCGGCCGCGCCGCAGGGCGUCGACGCAGUGUACGACGGUGUGGGCCAGGCGACCUUUGCCGGCAGCCUAUCGGUGCUGCGGCCGCGCGGCUACAUGAUCACCUUCGGCAACGCGAGCGGCGCUGUGCCGCCAGUUUCGCCAAUGGAGCUGUCGCGCGCGGGCAGCGUGUACCUGCAGCGGCCGACGCUGGGCGACUUUAUGCGCACUCCCGAGGAAGUGCAGCGCCGCACCUCCGAGGUGUUUGGGUGGGUGGCGUCGAAGCAGGUGCAGCUGACGAUCGGCCAUGAGUACCCGUUGCAUGAAGCGGCACAGGCGCUCACGGACCUGCAGUCGCGCAAGACAACGGGCAAGCUGCUGUUGAAGUGCAUUGACUGAGAAGAAGCGGAUGCAGUAGGUGUGUGUGUGCGUGUGUGCGCGCGCGCUCAAAG